UGAACGCUGGCGGCAGGCCUAACACAUGCAAGUCGAACGGUAGCACAGAGGAGCUUGCUCCUUGGGUGACGAGUGGCGGACGGGUGAGGAAUACAUCGGAAUCUACCCUGUCGUGGGGGAUAACGUAGGGAAACUUACGCUAAUACCGCAUACGAACUGAGGUUGAAAGCAGGGGACCGCAAGGCCUUGCGCGAUUGGAUGAGCCGAUGUCCGAUUAGCUAGUUGGUAAGGUAAAGGCUUACCAAGGCGACGAUCGGUAGCUGGUCUGAGAGGAUGAUCAGCCACACUGGAACUGAGACACGGUCCAGACUCCUACGGGAGGCAGCAGUGGGGAAUAUUGGACAAUGGGCGCAAGCCUGAUCCAGCCAUGCCGCGUGUGUGAAGAAGGCCUCGGUUGUAAGCACUUUGUUGGUAAGAAAGACGGUCGGCGUAAUACCCGGUCGUUCUGACGGUACCAACGAAUAAGCACCGGCUAACUCGUGCCAGCA
RNAcentral lists this ribosomal RNA (488 nucleotides) under uncultured bacterium. RNAcentral's name for it is "bacterial SSU rRNA". It matches the Rfam family "Bacterial small subunit ribosomal RNA", at positions 30 to 513 of the family's 1533-position model. The record is from RNAcentral.